AUCAGCCCCAGGUAGAUGGGUGAGGGGGGGGGGGCAGCCCCCAGCACCCCCUGCCCCAAAUUUUGUCACCUACCCGCAGCCGCCGCAGCCACAGCACGGUGGACACCAGGCUCAGCCGCAGCAGCAGCGGCAGCAGCGGGAGCAGCUCGGAUGGCGGGGGGAAGCCAGAGUCCCCCAUGGCUCCGGCGAUGCCGCAGGUCCCCGGGCGGUGGGCACAGGCCUGUGGCACAGAGCCCCGAAUUUCAUGAGCCACGAGAAGGGCUCAGCACUGAUGCCAGGGACUGGGAGAGGAGCCCCCAGCACGGGGACGGCACCACCAGCACCCACAGCAUCCCCUGGGGCUGAGCACCCCCCUCCCCAUGAGCCCCCCAUCCUGUGCCAGGGUGCUGCCCGUGCAUAGGGGACGCUGCCCAUGGGUGUCGGGGUGCCACAGGAGGGGUGCAGCCUGCUUCUGACCCCACUUCUGCAGGGUUGCCCCCCUGGCCAGCCUUACCGAGCUCCCCGGCCCCCCCACAAGCCGGAGCCCACCGGGAUGGUGCCACGGUGCGAUGCCCACUGCCCGCUCCCACCCCUGCAGGACCCCCGUUGGGGCACGGCGCGGUGCACACGCACCCCCCUUUGUGACACCACGCAGUUCUUCUCCCUCCUUCCAGCCCCAAACAGAGUUUUGAUGUAGAUGGGAGCCCCUCGAUGCCAAAUGCUGGGUCCAGCAGGAACCCACCCCAUGUCCCCCCUGCCUCCUGGUCUCCCCCCUAAGCCCCCCUGGGCUGUGGGGUGGCCGGGCCCGGGCUCGUCCUGCAGCUGCUGGAAUUUCCCUUCCGUGGGGUUUGGUUCCUGCACUGAGAAGCAGGGCGGUGGCGGCUGGGCAGGGCAGGCUGCAGGCACCACGUCGUGCAGAAAAUGAAAGCAGGCGAGCAAGCAGCAGCUCCGGGUCUGCCCCUUUCCUGUUUUCUGUUUUGCAGCUCCGUUUUCAGCCCUGGCCCUGCACAGGGCCCCCGGGGCCUGCUGGGCUGGGACAACCCACCCGCAGGGACACCCGUGGGCAGGGGCACCCACCCGCAGGGACAUCACCGCCGGGAAUGGGACACCACCGGGACAGGGACACCACUGAGCCGGAGGUGCCAUGGGCCUGAGGAUGAUCCCGCGGCUGCGCUGGGCAUGGCUGUGCCUCGGGGCCCUGCUGGCAGCCCCCUGGGUGAGUGGGGGCCCUGCAGUGCGGCACCCCCACCCCGCUGCCCCUGGGGCCGGUUCCACACCAUCCUGCUGCUUUUGCUUUUGCUUCGCUUUGCUGCCACUGUCCCCAUGCCAGGGCUCGCUGUGGGUUCUUCCCCGAGCCAUGCAGGUGCUGCUCACCCUCCCACUGCUU
RNAcentral lists this long non-coding RNA (1366 nucleotides) under Anas platyrhynchos platyrhynchos (common mallard). RNAcentral describes it as "lncRNA (ENSAPLG00000026446.1)". The record is from RNAcentral. Lineage: Eukaryota; Metazoa; Chordata; Aves; Anseriformes; Anatidae.